Molecule: ribosomal RNA, 465 nt
Filed under: uncultured Klebsiella sp.
Lineage: Bacteria; Pseudomonadati; Pseudomonadota; Gammaproteobacteria; Enterobacterales; Enterobacteriaceae
Description: bacterial SSU rRNA
Rfam family: Bacterial small subunit ribosomal RNA
Source: RNAcentral
CCUACGGGGGGCUGCAGUGGGGCAUAUUGCACAAUGGGCGCAAGCCUGAUGCAGCCAUGCCGCGUGUGUGAAGAAGGCCUUCGGGUUGUAAAGCACUUUCAGCGGGGAGGAAGGCGGUGAGGUUAAUAACCUCAUCGAUUGACGUUACCCGCAGAAGAAGCACCGGCUAACUCCGUGCCAGCAGCCGCGGUAAUACGGAGGGUGCAAGCGUUAAUCGGAAUUACUGGGCGUAAAGCGCACGCAGGCGGUCUGUCAAGUCGGAUGUGAAAUCCCCGGGCUCAACCUGGGAACUGCAUUCGAAACUGGCAGGCUAGAGUCUUGUAGAGGGGGGUAGAAUUCCAGGUGUAGCGGUGAAAUGCGUAGAGAUCUGGAGGAAUACCGGUGGCGAAGGCGGCCCCCUGGACAAAGACUGACGCUCAGGUGCGAAAGCGUGGGGAGCAAACAGGAUUAGAUACCCGAGUAGUC